This 465-nucleotide ribosomal RNA is filed under the name uncultured bacterium. RNAcentral's name for it is "partial 16S ribosomal RNA". It matches the Rfam family "Bacterial small subunit ribosomal RNA", at positions 28 to 507 of the family's 1533-position model. The record is from RNAcentral.
GACGAACGCUGGCGGCGUGCUUAACACAUGCAAGUCGUACGGUAAGGCCCUUUCGGGGGUACACGAGUGGCGAACGGGUGAGUAACACGUGAGUAACCUGCCCACAACUUUGGGAUAACGCUAGGAAACUGGUGCUAAUACUGGAUAUGUGCUCCUGCUGCAUGGUGGGGGUUGGAAAGCUCCGGCGGUUGUGGAUGGACUCGCGGCCUAUCAGCUUGUUGGUGGGGUAGUGGCCUACCAAGGCGGCGACGGGUAGCCGGCCUGAGAGGGUGACCGGCCACAUUGGGACUGAGAUACGGCCCAGACUCCUACGGGAGGCAGCAGUGGGGAAUAUUGCACAAGGGGCGCCAGCCUGAUGCAGCAACGCCGCGGGCGGGAUGACGGCCUUCGGGUUGUAAACCGCUUUCAGCAGGGACGAAGCUUUUUGUGACGGUACCUGCAGAAGAAGCACCGGCUAACUACGUG